This 439-nucleotide unclassified non-coding RNA is filed under the name Hevea brasiliensis (rubber tree). The record is from RNAcentral. Lineage: Eukaryota; Viridiplantae; Streptophyta; Magnoliopsida; Malpighiales; Euphorbiaceae.
GCAAUCACUGGGAAGAAAAUCAUGAAUACUAACAACAAUCAACAAACAUGGAACUAGAAUGUCUAAAAAGUGCAUGAAGUUAGGAAUCUUUUUUAAAUAGAUCACAAGUUGCCAAUAGGGAUGCAAUAGAAUGUAUUAGGCAAAAAAUCCAAAAUAAAAUAACAUAAAAAAUAAGAGGAAGACAAGAUAGACGCCAGACCAUGGCCAAGGUGGAAAACAAUUUUGCAACUGCAAAACUAUUAGUAAGACUAACAAUUUACUCCCCCUCUUUUCAAGCUAGUUGGAAAGCACACAUUAUGAGAUACCAGAAUAAAUUCACGCAAAUUUUCUGAACUUAAGCCUGCAAGGAUACAAAUCUCAUACCAAAAUAAUAGAAAGGAACCUAUUUCCUAUAAGGUUGGCCAGGAUAAAGCACAGCAAUAAUUUCAAACAGCAUGAG